Molecule: ribosomal RNA, 429 nt
Filed under: Pseudomonadota bacterium
Lineage: Bacteria; Pseudomonadati; Pseudomonadota
Description: Proteobacteria bacterium partial 16S ribosomal RNA
Rfam family: Bacterial small subunit ribosomal RNA
Source: RNAcentral
UGGGGAAUAUUGGACAAUGGGCGAAAGCCUGAUCCAGCCAUGCCGCGUGUGUGAAGAAGGUCUUCGGAUUGUAAAGCACUUUAAGUUGGGAGGAAGGGCAGUAAGCGAAUACCUUGCUGUUUUGACGUUACCGACAGAAUAAGAACCGGCUAACUCUGUGCCAGCAGCCGCGGUAAUACAGAGGGUGCAAGCGUUAAUCGGAAUUACUGGGCGUAAAGCGCGCGUAGGUGGUUCGUUAAGUUGAAUGUGAAAGCCCCGGGCUCAACCUGGGAACUGCAUCCAAAACUGGCGAGCUAGAGUAGGGCAGAGGGUGGUGGAAUUUCCUGUGUAGCGGUGAAAUGCGUAGAUAUAGGAAGGAACACCAGUGGCGAAGGCGACCACCUGGGCUCAUACUGACACUGAGGUGCGAAAGCGUGGGGAGCAAACAGG